GUGAGGAAUAUUGGUCAAUGGGCGAGAGCCUGAACCAGCCAAGUCGCGUGAAGGAAGAAGGAUCUAUGGUUCGUAAACUUCUUUUGCAGGGGAAUAAAGUGCGGGACGUGUCCUGUUUUGUAUGUACCCUGAGAAUAAGGAUCGGCUAACUCCGUGCCAGCAGCCGCGGUAAUACGGAGGAUCCGAGCGUUAUCCGGAUUUAUUGGGUUUAAAGGGAGCGUAGGUGGUUUGAUAAGUCAGCGGUGAAAGUUUGCAGCUUAACUGUAAAAAUGCCGUUGAAACUGUCGGACUUGAGUGUAAAUGAGGUAGGCGGAAUGCGUGGUGUAGCGGUGAAAUGCAUAGAUAUCACGCAGAACUCCGAUUGCGAAGGCAGCUUACUAAGCUACAACUGACACUGAAGCACGAAAGCGUGGGGAUCAAACAGGAUUAGAUACCCGGGUAGUCC
Molecule: ribosomal RNA, 445 nt
Filed under: uncultured bacterium
Lineage: Bacteria
Description: partial 16S ribosomal RNA
Rfam family: Bacterial small subunit ribosomal RNA
Source: RNAcentral